This 472-nucleotide ribosomal RNA is filed under the name uncultured bacterium. RNAcentral describes it as "partial 16S ribosomal RNA". It matches the Rfam family "Bacterial small subunit ribosomal RNA", at positions 29 to 507 of the family's 1533-position model. The record is from RNAcentral.
AUGAACGCUAGCGGCAGGCCUAAUACAUGCAAGUCGAACGGGUGGUCGCAAGACCACUAGUGGCGCACGGGUGCGUAACGCGUAACCAACCUGCCCCGAUCUGGGGGAUAGCCCGCCGAAAGGCGGAUUAAUACCGCAUAUACCCGCAGCCUGGCAUCAGGCAACGGGGAAAGAUUUAUUGGAUCGGGAUGGGGUUGCGUGACAUUAGCUAGUUGGCGGGGUAAGGGCCCACCAAGGCGACGAUGUCUAGGGGACCUGAGAGGGUGAUCCCCCACACUGGCACUGAGAUACGGGCCAGACUCCUACGGGAGGCAGCAGUAGGGAAUAUUGGGCAAUGGGCGAGAGCCUGACCCAGCCAGGCCGCGUGCCGGAUGAAGGCCUUCUGGGUUGUAAACGGCUUUUCUCAGGGAAGAAAAAGACCUUGCGAGGUACACUGACGGUACCUGAGGAAUAAGCACCGGCUAACUCCGUG